GGGCCGGUAGCUCAGUGGUAGAGCAGACGCCUUUUAAGCGUCUGGCCGUGGGUUCGAUCCCCACCCGGCCCACCA
RNAcentral lists this transfer RNA (75 nucleotides) under Alphaproteobacteria bacterium. RNAcentral's name for it is "tRNA-Lys". It matches the Rfam family "tRNA". Rfam says of the family: Transfer RNA (tRNA) molecules are approximately 80 nucleotides in length. Their secondary structure includes four short double-helical elements and three loops (D, anti-codon, and T loops). The record is from RNAcentral. Lineage: Bacteria; Pseudomonadati; Pseudomonadota; Alphaproteobacteria.